This 445-nucleotide ribosomal RNA is filed under the name uncultured bacterium. RNAcentral's name for it is "SSU rRNA". It matches the Rfam family "Bacterial small subunit ribosomal RNA", at positions 26 to 518 of the family's 1533-position model. The record is from RNAcentral.
AGAACGAACGCUGGCGGCAGGCUUAACACAUGCAAGUCGAGCGCUGUAGCAAUACAGAGCGGCGCACGGGUGAGUAACACGUGGGAACAUGCCUUUCGGUUCGGAAUAACUCAGGGAAACUUGUGCUAAUACCGGAUACGCCCUUACGGGGAAAGAUUUAUUGCCGAAAGAGUGGCCCGCGUUGGAUUAGCUAGUUGGCGGGGUAAAAGCCCACCAAGGCGACGAUCCAUAGCUGGUCUGAGAGGACGACCAGCCACACUGGGACUGAGACACGGCCCAGACUCCUACGGGAGGCAGCAGUGGGGAAUCUUGGACAAUGGGGGAAACCCUGAUCCAGCCAUGCCGCGUGAGUGAUGAAGGCCCUAGGGUUGUAAAACUCUUUCGGCGGGGACAUAAUGACGGUACCCGCAGAAGAAGCUCCGGCUAACUUCGUGCCAGCAGCCGC